GCGUUACUAUUCAAUGCUCCAGGAGACGAGAUGUUCACUUGUAGGCUGGUGAAUCUUCUCCCCUUGUCAAGUCAGGUGAGCAAGUGUGAUGUCAAAGAUUCUUAUUCCUAGACUGAUGCUUGAGUGUUGAGGGCUGCAGGGAUUUUGAAGAAGCUUGUUUGUAUAAGUCGUAGGCAGCAUCACAACGAGUUUAACUUCUGGAACGGGA
This is a long non-coding RNA of Brassica oleracea var. oleracea, 208 nucleotides long. RefSeq lists it as uncharacterized. Lineage: Eukaryota; Viridiplantae; Streptophyta; Magnoliopsida; Brassicales; Brassicaceae. The transcript has 3 exons. The record is from RefSeq and is a predicted model, not a curated record.